Molecule: ribosomal RNA, 505 nt
Filed under: uncultured bacterium
Lineage: Bacteria
Description: partial 16S ribosomal RNA
Rfam family: Bacterial small subunit ribosomal RNA
Source: RNAcentral
GACGAACGCUGGCGGCGUGCCUAAUACAUGCAAGUAGAACGCACAGUUUAUACCGUAGCUUGCUACACCAUAGACUGUGAGUUGCGAACGGGUGAGUAACGCGUAGGUAACCUGCCUGGUAGCGGGGGAUAACUAUUGGAAACGAUAGCUAAUACCGCAUAAUAUUGAUUAUUACAUGAUAAUUAAUUGAAAGGUGCAAUUGCACCACUACCAGAUGGACCUGCGUUGUAUUAGCUAGUAGGUGAGGUAACGGCUCACCUAGGCGACGAUACAUAGCCGACCUGAGAGGGUGAUCGGCCACACUGGGACUGAGACACGGCCCAGACUCCUACGGGAGGCAGCAGUAGGGAAUCUUCGGCAAUGGACGAAAGUCUGACCGAGCAACGCCGCGUGAGUGAAGAAGGUUUUCGGAUCGUAAAGCUCUGUUGUAAGAGAAGAACGGGUGUGAGAGUGGAAAGUUCACACUGUGACGGUAGCUUACCAGAAAGGGACGGCUAACUACGUG